GAAGUAAAAGUCGUAACAAGGUUUCCGUAGGUGAACCUGCGGAAGGAUCAUUAUUGAAUAAACUUGCACAGGCUGUUGCUGGCCCUCAAGGGUAUGUGCACGCUUGUCAUCUUUAUCUCUCCAACUGUGCACAUAUUGUAGACCUGGAGUCCCUGUUGAUUCAUUUCGAGUUGGGACUGCUGUGCUUUGUACUUCAGAGUCAGCUUUGCCUUUUUCAUACCCAGGUCUAUGUCAUUUUCACAACCUCUUGAAUGUGUUUAGAAUGUUGAAUCAGGUCUUUUUGUACCUAUAAAGUUAAAUAUACAACUUUCAGCAACGGAUCUCUUGGCUCUCGCAUCGAUGAAGAACGCAGCGAAAUGCGAUAAGUAAUGUGAAUUGCAGAAUUCAGUGAAUCAUCGAAUCUUUGAACGCAUCUUGCGCUCCUUGGUACUCCGAGGAGCAUGCCUGUUUGAGUGUCAUUUAAAUUCUCAACCACAUCAAUUUAUUUGGUGAGGCUUGGAUGUGGGGGUGUUUUUGCGGGCUUCUGUAAAUUUGAAGUCGGCUCCCCUAAAAUGCAUUAGUGGUAUCUGAGCAGAAGAAACUACUACAGGUGUGAUAAUUAUCUACGCCUCAGUAUUCUGCACAAUCAGAUUGUGCUGCUUCUAACGAGUGGAGAUUCCUUUUGGGGGACCACAUUUGUUGAAUUUGACCUCAAAUCAGGUAGGACUACCCGCUGAACUUAAGCAUAUCAAUAGCCGG
Molecule: ribosomal RNA, 738 nt
Filed under: Inocybe tjallingiorum
Lineage: Eukaryota; Fungi; Basidiomycota; Agaricomycetes; Agaricales; Inocybaceae
Description: eukaryotic LSU rRNA
Rfam family: 5.8S ribosomal RNA (bases 305-458)
Source: RNAcentral